Molecule: microRNA precursor, 102 nt
Filed under: Marmota monax (woodchuck)
Lineage: Eukaryota; Metazoa; Chordata; Mammalia; Rodentia; Sciuridae
Source: RNAcentral
AAUGGAAUUGCUGGGCCAUAUGGUAAUUUUGUGCUUAACUGUUUGAGGACCUGCCAGACUGUUUCCUACAGUGUCUACAUAAUUUUAUAUCCCACUAACAGU